This 475-nucleotide ribosomal RNA is filed under the name uncultured organism. RNAcentral describes it as "partial 16S ribosomal RNA". It matches the Rfam family "Bacterial small subunit ribosomal RNA", at positions 331 to 797 of the family's 1533-position model. The record is from RNAcentral.
GUACACUCCUACGGGAGGCAGCAGUGGGGAAUUUUGGACAAUGGGCGAAAGCCUGAUCCAGCAAUGCCGCGUGGGUGAAGAAGGCCUUCGGGUUGUAAAGCUCUUUUGUCAGGGAAGAAACGGUGAAAGCUAAUAUCUUUUGCUAAUGACGGUACCUGAAGAAUAAGCACCGGCUAACUACGUGCCAGCAGCCGCGGUAAUACGUAGGGUGCAAGCGUUAAUCGGAAUUACUGGGCGUAAAGCGUGCGCAGGCGGUUUUGUAAGUCUGAUGUGAAAUCCCCGGGCUCAACCUGGGAAUUGCAUUGGAGACUGCAAGGCUAGAAUCUGGCAGAGGGGGGUAGAAUUCCACGUGUAGCAGUGAAAUGCGUAGAUAUGUGGAGGAACACCGAUGGCGAAGGCAGCCCCCUGGGUCAAGAUUGACGCUCAUGCACGAAAGCGUGGGGAGCAAACAGGAUUAGAUACCCUAGUAGUCCCA